UUGGCAGAGAAAGGUGAAUGUUCAUGACUUUGGUUGCCACUGAACUGUGCUGAUGGGAAAUCAGGCACCCAGAAGUCAAUUCCUAUGGAAUGGCAUCCUCCUUUCUGGUCGCUCUGGAGUGGCCACUGCCUGAGGGUCACAUUCUCACAAGUUUGCUGUUGCAGAAAUACCCCCAGUUGAGAUGUGUUUAACCAGCUAAGCCAGAGCAAUGCCUUUGUAUUAACUGCUGCAGAUGGAGAUGCGGAAGGAUGUCAGUGUUGCAAGGACCUUCCUCCAGUGCAUGGACUUGCCAGUUCCCAGUUGACUUUCAAGUACCUACAUAUCCAGGGGUAUCUUUCACCUCCAGUGUCUCUCUCAUCCUCUCAGAUUCCCUCUUGAGCAGACACUGCUUUCACAC
This is a long non-coding RNA of Sciurus carolinensis (gray squirrel), 397 nucleotides long. RefSeq lists it as uncharacterized. The transcript is spliced from 3 exons. The record is from RefSeq and is a predicted model, not a curated record. Lineage: Eukaryota; Metazoa; Chordata; Mammalia; Rodentia; Sciuridae.